This 433-nucleotide ribosomal RNA is filed under the name uncultured bacterium. RNAcentral's name for it is "partial 16S ribosomal RNA". It matches the Rfam family "Bacterial small subunit ribosomal RNA", at positions 29 to 507 of the family's 1533-position model. The record is from RNAcentral.
AACGAACGCUGGCGGCAUGCCUAACACAUGCAAGUCGAACGAGACCUUCGGGUCUAGUGGCGCACGGGUGCGUAACGCGUGGGAACCUGCCCUUAGGUUCGGAAUAACUCCCCGACAGGGGUGCUAAUACCGGAUAAUGUCUUCGGCCCAAAGAUUUAUCGCCUUUGGAUGGGCCCGCGUUGGAUUCGCUUGUUGGUAGGGUAAAAGCCUACCACGGCGACGAUCCAUAGCUGGUCUGCGAGGAUGAUCAGCCACACUGGGACUGAGACACGGCCCAGACUCCUACGGGAGGCAGCAGUGGGGAAUAGUGGACAAUGGGCGAAAGCCUGAUCCAGCAAUGCCGCGUGAGUGAUGAAGGCCUUAGGGUUGUAAAGCGCUUUUACCCGGGAUGAUAAUGACAGUACCGGGAGAAUAAGCUCCGGCUAACUCCGUG